Molecule: ribosomal RNA, 208 nt
Filed under: uncultured bacterium
Lineage: Bacteria
Description: partial 16S ribosomal RNA
Rfam family: Bacterial small subunit ribosomal RNA
Source: RNAcentral
UAAUACGUAGGGCGCAAGCGUUAUCCGGAAUUAUUGGGCGUAAAGAGCUCGUAGGCGGUUUGUCGCGUCUGCUGUGAAAUCCCGAGGCUCAACCUCGGGCCUGCAGUGGGUACGGGCAGACUAGAGUGCGGUAGGGGAGAUUGGAAUUCCUGGUGUAGCGGUGGAAUGCGCAGAUAUCAGGAGGAACACCGAUGGCGAAGGCAGAUCU